GGCGCGCUUCGCUAUUUCAAAACUCAUAACGUUUUCUUCUUUUUCAUGGAAAAGUUUCAUUCUAAAGCUCUCUGUGUCAUGUGUGCAAUCGUUACGGAAGAGUGUAAUUUAUUAUAGUCAUAUAACGAUCGCAUAACUCUUAUAACGGUUCUUCUGUGUUGAUGGCAAGUAAGAAGUUACGAAGGACGGGCGUCUCAGCAGAGCUCUGCGAGCGACUCAAGCGCCAUCAACUGGAAACCUGUCAGGAUGUCCUGUCCAUCACACCCGUGGAGCUCAUGCGGCUGGCUGGACUCAGUUACCCCGCGGCUCUGGAGCUCCUGCAGCUGCUCAGUAGAGCCUGUGCCCCGGCUGUGAGCCGCGCAUGGGAUUUGUGGAGGAAGAAGGGAGAGCUGUGUUUCUCGACAUCACUUCCUGCCCUGGACACAUUACUGCGUGGAGGACUGCCGAGGGGUGCUCUCACUGAGGUGACCGGCCCGUCAGGCUGUGGAAAGACUCAGCUGUGUAUGAUGCUCAGUGUUUUGGCUACGCUGCCGAGGACUAUGGGAGGUCUGGACAGCGGGGUCAUCUUCAUCGACACAGAGUCGGCGUUCUCUGCUGAAAGAUUGGUGGAAAUGGCAGAGGCCAGAUUCCCAGAGUUCUUCUCGGUGAAGGAGCGUCUGCUGGAGAUGGCGUCUCGUGUUCAUCUCUUCAGGGAACUCACCUGCCAGGACGUCCUGAAUAGGCUGGAGCGUCUGGAGGAAGACAUAAUUGCGUGUCGAGCCGGGCUUCUUAUUUUGGAUUCCGUGGCUUCUGUUGUGAGGAAGGAGUUUGACACGUCGCUGCCGGGAAAUCUAACGUUCAGGAGUAACCUACUGGGCCAGGAAGCUGCUGUACUGAAGUACCUCUCGCAGGCCUUCUGCAUCCCAGUGGUUUUAACUAACCAGAUCACCACACGUGUGGGCGAGAAGGUUCACUGUCCUCAGUGGAAUCAGGCAGAUGUAUCUAAGGAGGAGGACUCAGGUUUUGUGACAGCGGCGCUUGGAAACACAUGGAGUCACAGUGUUAACACACGCCUCAUCGUCCAGUACGAGGACACAGAACGGAGACAGAUUGUCAUAGCCAAAUCACCUGUGGCCCCUUUUGCCGUGCUGAGCUACACUGUUCAGAAGGAGGGCAUCCGUCUUGAGGGGAAUGAAAACCCAGAAAGUGUUUUAAACCAGGGAACCGAUCCAGGGCUUCAGCCAAUCAGAGUGAGGUCGGGGUUCAUCUGCAACCUUUCCCAGGCCACACCUUCUACUUGUUAAGAACUUCCUUUGGCCCCAGAAUGCAGUGGCCGUUAUUGCCCUAUUUAAAGGUACAAGCUAUGGUUAACCAUUGCAGGAACAUGUGGAGGACAUACACAAAGCAGACGGAUUGGACUUUGUAUAACAUUACCUCCGUUCUCAUCCAGUUAGAAAACUGCAACAUCAGUCAGCUAUUGAUUGACAGCUGUAUUUUUCCUCUCGCUGCUCGUGUGAUAAGACGGCAGUCUUGGACAAACGCUACUUGACCCUGGCUGGCCGUUGCCAUGGAUUCUGUUCCCAUGACUCCUGUUCCCAUGGUUCCUUCAGCCUUAAAGGGAAGUUUGUCUGAUUAGAUGAACAAUGGUGUUAUUUUGGCUGGUUCCCCCUUUUUCGCCUUGUUUUGCGUUUCGUUGUAUAUGUGCACAGAUACGCAUUGACACAUUCUUUGUAUUUAUUUUUAUGACUUGUUUCUUCCUAAUAGGCUUUUAUAUAGAGUUCUAACAUUAAUAAAUGCAAACUCAAGGUCUUCCAAACUCUUAAUUAUUGUGAUUUCAUUAGUAGAAUCUGCUCACAGUGCAGACGUCAGGGACAUCUUUAGCCCUCGGCCAGCAGAUAAAGUCAGUUGUGACAGCCGAACACGCAAUGCUGAGUAGGUGUUCUUUCUGUCUAUCUUUCUCUUUCAUCCUCUUUCUGUAUAUCUCUCCUCCCUUCCCCCCAUAAGCGGGCUGAUAGGCUGAGAGUUGACAUGUUUUUACAGAUCUUUUAAUGGUUGACCUGUGGCGAUAUCACUGCCUGUGCCUGUAGUGGAGGGAGGAAAACUCUCCUUCCUCGCCUGUAAACCGGAAGGCAAAAAUCAGAGCAGAGAGUCAUGAGAUCCUGACGUGGGUGCAAAACGUCCACAGCGAUCAGUUCUCAUCCAAACCCAUCCAAACCAGCCACACAAAAAGAUCAUGCACAUGGGCUAGAUGUCAAAUAUCAGUAGAUUUCAACUAGCCUUGAUUCUUUUCUUUUUUUUUUUGCAGUGUUUGUUUUUGAAUUGAUAAAAUUGGAUGCUUGUGAUCUCAAGUCAGUUCUGUUUGGAACCUUUUGUUUUGUUCUGCUUUCUUAGGCUUAUUUAGUUCUUGCACUGGCUUGAGGUUAAACCGACAACCACACGUUCCCUUAUCUAGAAACUCCCCGAAAUGCCCCUUUUAGUGCAAAUCGUUUCAAUCUUCUGAUACUGUGAACUCGAGAGCAGAGC
Molecule: RNA transcript, 2502 nt
Organism: Carassius auratus (goldfish)
Lineage: Eukaryota; Metazoa; Chordata; Actinopteri; Cypriniformes; Cyprinidae
Gene: rad51b
Gene name: RAD51 paralog B
Exons: 11
Source: RefSeq, a predicted model, not a curated record